UACGUAGGGUGCAAGCGUUUAAUCGGAAUUACUGGGCGUAAAGCGUGCGCAGGCGGUUUUGUAAGUCUGUCGUGAAAUCCCCGGGCUCAACCUGGGAAUUGCGAUGGAGACUGCAAGGCUAGAAUCUGGCAGAGGGGGGUAGAAUUCCACGUGUAGCAGUGAAAUGCGUAGAGAUGUGGAGGAACACCGAUGGCGAAGGCAGCCCCCUGGGUCAAGAUUGACGCUCAUGCACGAAAGCGUGGGGAGCAACAGG
RNAcentral lists this ribosomal RNA (253 nucleotides) under uncultured bacterium. RNAcentral describes it as "partial 16S ribosomal RNA". It matches the Rfam family "Bacterial small subunit ribosomal RNA", at positions 524 to 775 of the family's 1533-position model. The record is from RNAcentral.